UCCAGUCUUCAUCCUUCAUCACCGCACAAAGACAUCUGGACGAUUGUCAAGGACGUCACAAUCUCUGUGAUAGCUGACAUAUCCCAUGGGCCAUUGCAGAAAAAGGAAAGCAAAGUCACUCUUGCGUGAGCAAAUACAGUAUGGGUGGCUCCAUUAAUGCAGUUAUCUUGCAGUGCUGACUGCAGAUCCAUCAACUGCUAUUGAGGGUAAUGAGUAAGGCGUGGAGGUGAACACAUUACAGAGAGCUGACCUUGCCCAGAAAAGA
Molecule: long non-coding RNA, 265 nt
Filed under: Sinocyclocheilus anshuiensis
Lineage: Eukaryota; Metazoa; Chordata; Actinopteri; Cypriniformes; Cyprinidae
Description: lncRNA (ENSSANG00000033167.1)
Source: RNAcentral